UGGGCGGUUGAGGGAGUUGCAAUAGAGAAUGCAAUAGUCAACGUUUAUAAGCUUGUCUUUGACCAUAAUAUUAUUCCUUGAAUGUUCGAUGGUAGAUCUUUAGUGUUGCUCAAACAUCGGUCUGGUUGGAACAUGACUAAUGUUUCCAAGGCCUCUGGCCUGUAAUUCUUUGCAAUCAUGUCUAUGUUUUUCCCACUUUCCUAUGUAAACAGAUGGUACACUUCUCUUGUUCCAGGUAAAUGGUCCAGACCUUGAUGUCUCCAAAUAGCUGUCAGAUACUGUUGCUAAGUAUUGAUACAACAGUGCAUUCAUCUCCUGCUUUUUCUACUCUCGCAGCCUCAGCCACCCAUAUUGUAGUUAAUUGCCGUGGGGGUUGGAUGGGCACCCCUACCGGCCGCCUCUGUGUUAAAUGGCAGUUUUAGCACUUGCGAGAGGUCAGUGGACGUUGCCGGAGGUCAGUGGACGUGCUGUGUAAGACAACUGAGUGGCAGUGGGGAAACCAAGAAGGCUGGUGAGUGGCGUGAGAACAAAACUUUUUUCCUGGGAAAACAACACGUUCAUGAGGGAGAUCAAUGCCAUGUACCUGGAAAAACCUGAGGCCCAGUGUUUGAAAGAGGAAACACCUUUAUCAAAAUUAUCCCAUGGAGGUCUGAGUAUCUAUCAGGACUCCAGGUGUGGGCCAUCUCCAAGCGCUCCUGCAGUCUCCUGGCACAACAGGUGGGCCCUUGGGGCAGCCUGAACGCCCUUCAUGCAGGUGUCAAGUAAUCUCUCCCUAGCACGAGUUGGCUGGAGAUGGAAUCGUGGUGAAGCACACCGUGAGGACUAUGGGCAGGUUAUCCCAGUAAUGCUGGUGUUUGGAUGCGAUGUUGGCCAGCUUUUGUGCCAGUGUUUUUUGAAUGUGUAUACAAGGUCAGUCACACAUGCUAGCAAACCCACAGGACUCAAAGUUCCCAGCCUGGUUGCUGUGAAUGGACUCAGCAUUGGCAGUUUUGGAAGAGGUGAGGGCAUCGACAACGGUCCCUGCGUCCUGGCUGGGCAGGGCUUAUUUUGUAAAAUAGUCCAUAGCCUUGAGCACCCAAUGGUUUCCAUUUUCUGUGCUUUGGAGCAGCUUGACCACAUCCCCUCCCCACUCCCUCCACGGGAGCCACGAAUGGAAGCUGCAGAAGCUGCAUGGGAAUGACCCAGAGGACCCUUCCUCGCUGUGCAGCUGUCGCAGCGGUAACAAAAAUCCUCUGCAUCCGUCCUGCGCUGACCCCAGGAGAAACCCUGGCGGAGGGUCUUUGUGACCCCAACGUCCAGAUCCCUCCUACUUAUGCCCUGGAGCACAGCGUCCCACAGAGCUAUUGGGAAAACCACCUGCCACCUCUCCUCUCCAGUAGCUGGCUCCUGUAAGGACAAUGUAGGUUGCCAUCAGCGAGACGCAGAUUAUCAAACUUUGACCGUAGCUCUUUGGUAUCAUGUGGGAGCACCGCUACCUCUUCCCCAGGUGGUCUCUGAAGCCUGCCCACUGCAUUUCCCACACUGCCACAUUAUCUGCCACUUCCUGGGGCACCAAUAGGAUAUGAUGGGGACACAUCCUGAUGGGGUGUGUGUUCUGCCCUUCCCCUCAUGCAACUCCUCCAGCCACAGGAACGUCUCAAGGUUGCAAACAUAGUGUGCUCUCUGGGUUAUUAGCAACUUAGCUGAAAAUGCGCUUCUCCAGUGGCAAUGAGUUUUGAAAGAGUUAGUUGAUAUAUAUGCAUUUUAAUACCAGUAUCUACUUUUGUCCUAUGUAUAAAGACAUUAUUUUCAUCUCACUGCUGCAAUCUGCAGUUCUUGCCGGUUAGUUGGUUUGCAUGAGCUUGCAUUGACUUGUAAUCUCUUAGUUGUUUUAGAUACUUGCAGUACUUUCCUUCCCAAACUAAACCACCCUGGACUAACUGAUACUAUUCUGGUCUUGUUCAGUGAGGCAAGGAGGAGGAGUCAUAUAAGGAGGAGGAGUCAUAUAAUUGGUUAAAAUCCAAUCCUGUAUAUGUUAGAGGGAGGAUUCUACACAGUGCACCUUUACAAACACAUUGCAUUGCCCCAGCGUUCAAACUGUCUAAAGGAGAAUUCUGUGUAACCAGUGAGGUCAUCGAUGUUCAAGGGUGUUAUACAGAGUGCCACUGGCUGGCAAGUUCAUUGCCCUGAAUAUACUCACAACUUUGCUCAUGCCUCCCUGUCAUUUACUUAUAUUAUUGUACAUUAAU
Esox lucius (northern pike) is the source of this 2228-nucleotide long non-coding RNA. RefSeq lists it as uncharacterized. NCBI's taxonomy places the organism in Eukaryota, Metazoa, Chordata, Actinopteri, Esociformes, Esocidae. The transcript has 3 exons. The record is from RefSeq and is a predicted model, not a curated record.